This 484-nucleotide ribosomal RNA is filed under the name uncultured bacterium. Its description in RNAcentral is "partial 16S ribosomal RNA". It matches the Rfam family "Bacterial small subunit ribosomal RNA", at positions 28 to 523 of the family's 1533-position model. The record is from RNAcentral.
GAUGAACGCUGGCGGCGUGCUUAACACAUGCAAGUCGAACGGUGAAGCAGGAGCUUGCUCUUGUGGAUCAGUGGCGAACGGGUGAGUAACACGUGAGCAACCUGCCCUUGACUCUGGGAUAAGCGCUGGAAACGGCGUCUAAUACUGGAUAUGUGAUGUGACCGCAUGGUCUGCAUCUGGAAAGAAUUUCGGUUGGGGAUGGGCUCGCGGCCUAUCAGCUUGUUGGUGAGGUAAUGGCUCACCAAGGCGUCGACGGGUAGCCGGCCUGAGAGGGUGACCGGCCACACUGGGACUGAGACACGGCCCAGACUCCUACGGGAGGCAGCAGUGGGGAAUAUUGCACAAUGGGCGGAAGCCUGAUGCAGCAACGCCGCGUGAGGGAUAACGGCCUUCGGGUUGUAAACUUCUUUUAGCAGGGAAGAAGCGAAAGUGACGGUACCUGCAGAAAAAGCACCGGCUAACUACGUGCCAGCAGCCGCCGUAA